This is a non-coding RNA of Triticum aestivum (bread wheat), 127 nucleotides long. The record is from Rfam. NCBI's taxonomy places the organism in Eukaryota, Viridiplantae, Streptophyta, Magnoliopsida, Poales, Poaceae.
GACUUACUCCCUCCAUUCGAAAAAAACUUGUCCCGAGCUUGUCACUCAAAUGGAUGUAUCUAGCACUAACUUGGUGCUAGAUACAUUCAUUUGAGGGAGAAGCUUUUUCGGACGGAGGGAGUACGCA